RNAcentral lists this ribosomal RNA (120 nucleotides) under Gouania willdenowi (blunt-snouted clingfish). The record is from RNAcentral. Lineage: Eukaryota; Metazoa; Chordata; Actinopteri; Blenniiformes; Gobiesocidae.
GCUAACGGCCAUACCGCUCUGAUCAAGCCCGAUCUCGUCUGAUCUCGGAAGCUACGCAAAGACGGGCAUAGGUAGUACUUGAAUGGAGAGACUGCUUGGGAAUACCGUGUGCUGUAAGUU